Molecule: ribosomal RNA, 433 nt
Filed under: uncultured bacterium
Lineage: Bacteria
Description: partial 16S ribosomal RNA
Rfam family: Bacterial small subunit ribosomal RNA
Source: RNAcentral
AACGAACGCUGGCGGCAUGCCUAACACAUGCAAGUCGAACGAGACCUUCGGGUCUAGUGGCGCACGGGUGCGUAACGCGUGGGAACCUGCCCUUAGGUUCGGAAUAACUCUCAGAAAGGGGUGCUAAUACCGGAUAAUGUCUUCGGACCAAAGAUUUAUUGCCCUUGGAUGGGCCCGCGUUGGAUUAGCUAGUUGGUAGGGUAAAAGCCUACCAAGGCGACGACCCAUAGGUGGUCUGAGAGGAUGAUCAGCCACACUGGGACUGAGACACGGCCCAGACUCCUACGGGAGGCAGGAGUGGGGGAUAUUGGACAGUGGGCGAAGGCCUGAUCCAGCAAUGCCGCGUGAGUGAUGAAAGCCUUAAGGUUGUAAAGCUCUUUUACCCGGGAUGAUAAUGACGGUACCGGGAGAAUAAGCUCCGGCUAACUCCGUG